This 460-nucleotide ribosomal RNA is filed under the name uncultured bacterium. Its description in RNAcentral is "partial 16S ribosomal RNA". It matches the Rfam family "Bacterial small subunit ribosomal RNA", at positions 338 to 795 of the family's 1533-position model. The record is from RNAcentral.
CCUACGGGAGACAGCAGUGAGGAAUAUUGGUCAAUGGACGGAAGUCUGAACCAGCCAUGCCGCGUGCAGGAAGACGGCUCUAUGAGUUGUAAACUGCUUUUGUACAAGGGUAAACCUGAAUACGUGUAUUCAGCUGAAAGUACUGUACGAAUAAGGAUCGGCUAACUCCGUGCCAGCAGCCGCGGUAAUACGGAGGAUCCAAGCGUUAUCCGGAUUUAUUGGGUUUAAAGGGUGCGUAGGCGGAUUGAUAAGUUAGAGGUGAAAUGUCCGAGCUUAACUCGGGAACUGCCUCUAAUACUGUUGAUCUAGAGAGUAGAUGCGGUAGGCGGAAUGUAUGGUGUAGCGGGGAAAUGCUUAGAGAUCAUACAGAACACCGAUUGCGAAGGCAGCUUACCAAUCUAUAUCUGACGUUGAGGCACGAAAGCGUGGGGAGCAAACAGGAUUAGAUACCCUAGUAGCC